RNAcentral lists this ribosomal RNA (840 nucleotides) under uncultured Bacteroidota bacterium. RNAcentral describes it as "bacterial SSU rRNA". It matches the Rfam family "Bacterial small subunit ribosomal RNA", at positions 8 to 844 of the family's 1533-position model. The record is from RNAcentral. Lineage: Bacteria; Pseudomonadati; Bacteroidota.
AGGGUUUGAUCAUGGCUCAGGAUGAACGCUAGCGGCAGGCUUAACACAUGCAAGUCGAGGGGUAACAGGAGUAGCUUGCUAUUUGCUGACGACCGGCGCACGGGUGCGUAACGCGUAUAGAAUCUACCUUAUACUGGGGGAUAGCCUUUGGAAACGAAGAUUAAUACCCCAUAGUAUUAUUUUUUGGCAUCAUUAAAUAAUUAAAGUUUCGGCGGUAUAAGAUGACUAUGCGUUCUAUUAGUUAGUUGGUAAGGUAACGGCUUACCAAGACCGCGAUAGAUAGGGGUCCUGAGAGGGAGAUCCCCCACACUGGUACUGAGACACGGACCAGACUCCUACGGGAGGCAGCAGUGAGGAAUAUUGGACAAUGGAGGCAACUCUGAUCCAGCCAUGCCGCGUGUAGGAAGACUGCCCUAUGGGUUGUAAACUACUUUUAUAUGGGAAGAAUAAGGUCUACGUGUAGACUGAUGACGGUACCAUAAGAAUAAGCACCGGCUAACUCCGCGCCAGCAGCCGCGGUAAUACGGAGGGUGCAAGCGUUAUCCGGAAUCAUUGGGUUUAAAGGGUCCGUAGGCGUGCAUAUAAGUCAGUGGUGAAAGUCUGUGGCUUAACCAUAGAAUUGCCAUUGAUACUGUAUGUCUUGAAUUAUUGUGAAGUGGUUAGAAUAUGUAGUGUAGCGGUGAAAUGCUUAGAGAUUACAUAGAAUACCGAUUGCGAAGGCAGAUCACUAACAAUAUAUUGACGCUGAUGGACGAAAGCGUAGGUAGCGAACAGGAUUAGAUACCCUGGUAGUCUACGCCGUAAACGAUGGAUACUAGUUGUUUGGCCUUCGGGCUGAGU